This is a long non-coding RNA of Cyanistes caeruleus (blue tit), 1750 nucleotides long. Lineage: Eukaryota; Metazoa; Chordata; Aves; Passeriformes; Paridae. The record is from Ensembl.
UGUGCUUGUAAUACAGUAUACACACACAGCUGUACUGAGCAGUGGGCAUAACUCAUAAACUUUAAAAAAAGUAGAAUUGUUUUUAUUCUUCUUGCAGAAAUAGAUCACAACAUAUUCAAGGCUAAUGGUGUAAGUCCAUUUUUAAACCUACCUAGUGGAGUACUGUCCCAACAAAAAAGUUGUUCUGCAGUGUUUUCUUUCAAAAGAAAAGAAAUCCAUUCAAAAUAACCAUCAAGCUACAGUCAGGCUUUUUGUUUGGUUUGUCCCAAGCAGCCCCUUGCAGAAGAUUAUAAGCUACAUUUGUCUCUGUUUCUUGUUCCACAUGGAACCACGUGUAGAGGUCAGAGGAGCUGUGACUGCUCUUCUGAUCUCUACAUGGUCAUAAUGGUCACAACACAGUUACAGAAUUCCCCACUGCUACAGAGAUGCUGUGUGGAUGGUAGAGUAGGGUGUGAUGCUGCUCCCAGUGCUCAAGUUUUGCUUCACAAUAAGGCUAUUUUUGGGCUGUGGUUCAGCCCUCAGAACACCUCAGCAUCUCAUUUGCCUGCUGUCCUUUCUCAAGCUGGACUUCCUGAAGAAGCCAUGAUAGGCGAGUAUCUCUGUUGUCCCAGAGCAAGACCACCAACACUCAACAAACGUGCCUGCCUCACCGCAGUCCUUUCAACAAGAAGCCAGAUGGCAACGGAGGCACCACAUUCCCCAGGAGCUCAGCAGAGAUUUGCGAGAGGGGAAAGAACAACUACACCAUGAGUAAAUCUGAAUAAUAGUUUUGUCAAUACAGUGCAGUUAUUCCUAUGAAACCCUGAUAACGUUGUUCAGUUUAUCUUAUCAGUUUCUGUGUUUAUCUUCCAUACUGAAAGAAUUUGCCAUACCUUUUUUCUCUUGUAAUUACUUUAGACGUUAAUUGAAAUGCACAAAUCCAAUUUUUUACCCUGCUUUAAACUGGACAAAAAUUGUGAGUCUUUUCAAAGGGAAGCCAUAAUACAGAAAAUAGAUGGCUCACACUUUCUCCCAUCCAAUGGGUGCAAUUAAUCUUUGGGUGCUAAAAACCACUACAGCCACACAGGUUUUAUUUCUAAACUGAUUUUUUUUGUUGCCUACUUUCAUUAAUGUAUAAGCUAGUGCUGUGAAUCCCUAACAGAGGUUAAAUGAUUUUAAAAGUCUGUUCCUGAUUUCAGAGAAUUUCCACUGAAAAGUACCACAGUGAACUUGGUGACUGAGAUGAUAGAUAAAUCUAACAUUUAUAUAAAAAAAAAGAAAGAACAUGUAGGAACCCUCCUGAGAUAACACCUUGGUCAUGUGUUGAAAUACUGACUGUGCAAUUUAUUAUAAUUAAGGUUUAAUUUCAACACUCGUGUUUGUUGGUGUUGUCCUUUUUAAGUGCUGUUAUUCAAACAAACAAACAAACUUCUGGAUUCUGCACCUCGGAUAGGGCAGCUUGGGAUGUAUGGACAGGAUGGAGAAUGAGAUGCUGGAAGGCAGUGCCACAGAAAGGGACCUGGGGGUCCUGGUCGACAGAAAGUUGAAAGUGAGCCAGCAGUGCCCACACAGCCAGGAGGGCCACCCAUGUCCUGGGGUGCAUCAGGCACAGCAUGGCCAGCUGGACAAGGGAGGGAAUUGUCCUGCUCUGCUCCGCACUGGGGUGGCCUCACCUCGAGCACUGGGGGCAGUUUGGGGUGUCACAAUAUAAGAAAGAUACAAAGCUAUUAGAGAGCACCCAAAGGAGAUCAACAAAAAUGGUAGAAGACCU